AUUGAACGCUGGCGGCAUGCCUUACACAUGCAAAUCGAACGGUAACGGGCCUUCGGGUGCCGACGAGUGGCGCACGGGUGAGUAAUACAUCGGAACGUGCCCGAUCGUGGGGGAUAACGAGGCGAAAGCUUUGCUAAUACCGCAUACGAUCUACGGAUGAAAGCAGGGGACCGCAAGGCCUUGCGCGGACGGAGCGGCCGAUGGCAGAUUAGGUAGUUGGUGGGAUAAAAGCUUACCAAGCCGACGAUCUGUAGCUGGUCUGAGAGGAUGAUCAGCCACACUGGGACUGAGACACGGCCCAGACUCCUACGGGAGGCAGCAGUGGGGAAUUUUGGACAAUGGGGGCAAGCCUGAUCCAGCCAUGCCGCGUGCAGGAUGAAGGCCUUCGGGUUGUAAACUGAUUUUGUACGGAACGAAAAGCCUUCUUUUAAUACAGGAGGGUCAUGACGGUACCGUAAGAAUAAGCACCGGCUAACUACGUG
This 482-nucleotide ribosomal RNA is filed under the name uncultured bacterium. RNAcentral's name for it is "partial 16S ribosomal RNA". It matches the Rfam family "Bacterial small subunit ribosomal RNA", at positions 30 to 507 of the family's 1533-position model. The record is from RNAcentral.